UAUUGUACUGAUUUGCUCAGAAGAAGAUAAGAAAUAUUCCCUAUCUUAAUUUACCCUAGCUAGCUUCUUCUUCUUAUUUCAUUUUUAGCCUUAUUUCUUCUUCUUUUUCUUAGUUGUUUUUGUGCACUGCUAUCAAAUUCAUUGUUGUCGUCAAUAUUUUUCUCAACUGUCUCUUCAAUGUUCUUCGGGUUUCAUUUUCGUCCUUACUCAAUCUCUUUUGCAUGAUUUCUCUUUUGACAUUAAUUUAUUUCUUAUAUUUAUUUUAAAUUUUUUGGAUCCCAAAAUUAAUUUUUAAUGAGAUAGGUAGCUAAAUCGUCCUGGAAUUUGAUAGAAUUUAGUUCAUCAUGAAAUAUUUUCAUCUCUCAUGGCCAAGAGAUACUUACAAAUUAAUACAAGUAUAUAUCCACCUUAUACAAAAUUCUUGUAACUUUUAUUUUUUGUUCUUACAUUGGAUUAUAGGGAUUAGGUACUUUAUCCCAAAGCAUUGCCCAAGGUGUAACUAUAGAAAAUAUUGUAGACAGCUUGAGUAACUUCAAAGGAAAAUUCGACUUGAUUUGGCAUUAAUCUCAUGUUCCACAUCUGCUAAAUUCGACUUCCAUGUCCAUUAGAGUUGUUACAGAUUGUGUUCGAGAUUUCAUUAGCUUUCGAAGAUCUCCCGGUGUCCAUUCCAAAACUUCUGUUAAAUUUCAUUCAACAACAGAGGUUGUAUCUUGGUUGUAUUGUAUUUCAAAAUGAAUGAGUUGUAAAUCUUAGAAGCUCUUGUACUAGUCUAGACCCGGUUUUGGGAAUGGUUAUUGUAUAAGUACUCUUAUUGUUCAUUUCUUCUAUAACGAUGAUUGGGAAUUAGCCAAGUGUGA
This is a long non-coding RNA of Lycium barbarum (goji berry), 857 nucleotides long. RefSeq lists it as uncharacterized. NCBI's taxonomy places the organism in Eukaryota, Viridiplantae, Streptophyta, Magnoliopsida, Solanales, Solanaceae. The record is from RefSeq and is a predicted model, not a curated record. The transcript is spliced from 2 exons.